UUGCUGGGUACUCGAGUGGCGAACGGGUGAGUAACACGUGGGUGAUCUGCCCUGAACUCUGGGAUAAGCCUGGGAAACUGGGUCUAAUACCGGAUAUGACCAUGCCAUGCAUGUGGUGUGGUGGAAAGCUUUUGCGGUUUGGGAUGGGCCCGCGGCCUAUCAGCUUGUUGGUGGGGUAAUGGCCUACCAAGGCGACGACGGGUAGCCGACCUGAGAGGGUGAUCGGCCACACUGGGACUGAGACACGGCCCAGACUCCUACGGGAGGCAGCAGUGGGGAAUAUUGCACAAUGGGCGCAAGCCUGAUGCAGCGACGCCGCGUGAGGGAUGACGGCCUUCGGGUUGUAAACCUCUUUCGCCAGGGACGAAGCGCAAGUGACGGUACCUGGAGAAGAAGCACCGGCCAACUACGUGCCAGCAGCCGCGGUAAUACGUAGGGUGCGAGCGUUGUCCGGAAUUACUGGGCGUAAAGAGCUCGUAGGCGGUUUGUCGCGUCGUCUGUGAAAUUCUGCAGCUUAACUGCAGGCGUGCAGGCGAUACGGGCAGACUUGAGUACUACAGGGGAGACUGGAAUUCCUGGUGUAGCGGUGAAAUGCGCAGAUAUCAGGAGGAACACCGGUGGCGAAGGCGGGUCUCUGGGUAGUAACUGACGCUGAGGAGCGAA
RNAcentral lists this ribosomal RNA (663 nucleotides) under actinobacterium X20. RNAcentral's name for it is "bacterial SSU rRNA". It matches the Rfam family "Bacterial small subunit ribosomal RNA", at positions 80 to 757 of the family's 1533-position model. The record is from RNAcentral. Lineage: Bacteria; Bacillati; Actinomycetota; Actinomycetes.